UUACUUCAAAUCUAUUUUUAUUUGCAUGGAUCCUGCGUCGCAGUCGGAGCCGCAUUCCACAGAAUGGAAUUCCACAAGGGAGAUAUUUGUGUAAUCCACAGUUCAACUAAACACCGCGGGCACAUCAUACUAAUAUCCAAAGCAGCUUCAACACAUGCAGUGACUGAAUUCAGCCGCUGACGUAAAACAGGCGCAUCUACAGAAAUGCUGGUAACCAACAAUCAACGGCGAAACCGGUUUGAAUCGUAUUCACCAUAAUGUGAAUGAUUGGUCUGUGGUAGAAGCAGAAGGUAAAGGGACUUUUCGAAUGGUUUGGGCAUUUCCCAUCAACUUAUCAUGAUUUCAAUACAGUAAUGUAAGCGUACAUUGGUGAGGUUCCGUGUAACGUCGUAGAAAAAGAUGCAUACGCAAUAUUUGAAGCAAUCAACGUUUGACACAACCAGUAAUACGUUUCACUCUAUAUUUAUCGUCGCUGAUCAGGAGUUGCAAAAUCAGGUUGAUUUUCUGCGAUCCGCGCAUCCAUCCGGUUUGUUAACGCUAGAUCCUUCGCAACAGGAGAGUCUUGACACGAAGCUUCCCUUUGCCGAGGUAGACUGCAAGAGUCCGGAACAGAUGAUGAUUGACGAAACCCAGUCCGUGUUUAAAGUUUUUGACUACUGAGAAAGCUAUGCGGAGGGUUCAUCAUUAGUGCGUGCGUGCAUAGAGAACAUCGAUGGUGCCGAGAGCAAUAAAGAGUAGUGACAUUAUUCGAGUAUAGAUUUCCGUUGUACCUCAUUGUCCGGGAGAUUCUAUUGUAGGGAUAGAAGAUACGAUUGUAACCGGUGUAGUUAUUUGGUCGAGUUGGCUAGGCUUAGCUGAGCGAGGAUUGUUGAGCCAUUGAUCGUAUAGCGUACGAUUCACGAUACAUCUACCCAUGAACUAGUUAAGUUUUGGUUCCAUCGAUUAUGUUCGAAUUGGUAUGUACGACGCCAAUUCUGGUAGCAUCAUAUACAGCAUGGACAGCAGCCGAAAUGUCAGCCGAUGAGCUAAUUGUUCUCCUGAGUCUUAUCAGUUUCCAUCGCGGGAGGUAACGAUUGUCGCAGCUUAUCAUUCGCUUCCAUCUGUUUAUCUUUCUCAUACAUGCGCACAUCGUCGAUGCUCAUGCCGUGCCACUCGUCAAUCCAUGCAAACGCUUGCCUGUGUCCCAGCAGCAGCACAUCUCGAAUACACUUGAAACGGAAACAUCGAUUAACCGAAGGGUGGAUUAAAUGGGCAAUUUGAGAUACCUUCUGUAUGAAGUCCUCAACCCGUGUCUGCAAGCCCCAGACUUCGAAGGAAGCUUCUACCAAUUUGUAGGAGCACAUCAUUGGUUUAUCCGUUUGGCGCCAUCCCUCCACUAGGGGGCCACGUCCAGUAACACGUGACUUGAAGAAUUUGGGAUCUUCCUCCUUUUUGUAAUGCUUUUCCGAGGGUUCCUCAAAAGCUAUGUCGACAUGGUCAACUAUUCGAGUUUUUAGAGCUUCCUCUGCAAGGUUUAGGCACUGCAAGAGAGUGGAAUGAUAGUAAGCUACUGGACGGAGCUGUGUUGGUGUGAGUAAGAUGGUUUAGCAUACGUUUUCCGAUGUGCCAGCAUUAUCUUCAAAUCGAGUCAGUAUACGUAUAUGUAGCUUUGGAAUAAACGAGCACUUUGGAGAGAACGGAAAAA
Molecule: long non-coding RNA, 1684 nt
Organism: Anopheles stephensi (Asian malaria mosquito)
Lineage: Eukaryota; Metazoa; Arthropoda; Insecta; Diptera; Culicidae
Exons: 3
Source: RefSeq, a predicted model, not a curated record